RNAcentral lists this ribosomal RNA (492 nucleotides) under uncultured bacterium. Its description in RNAcentral is "partial 16S ribosomal RNA". It matches the Rfam family "Bacterial small subunit ribosomal RNA", at positions 29 to 507 of the family's 1533-position model. The record is from RNAcentral.
AGUGAACGCUGGCGGUAGGCCUAACACAUGCAAGUCGAACGGCAGCACAGUAUGAGCUUGCUCUUACGGGUGGCGAGUGGCGGACGGGUGAGGAAUACAUCGGAAUCUACUUUUUCGUGGGGGAUAACGUAGGGAAACUUACGCUAAUACCGCAUACGACCUACGGGUGAAAGCAGGGGAUCUUCGGACCUUGCGCGAUUGAAUGAGCCGAUGUCGGAUUAGCUAGUUGGCGGGGUAAAGGCCCACCAAGGCGACGAUCCGUAGCUGGUCUGAGAGGAUGAUCAGCCACACUGGAACUGAGACACGGUCCAGACUCCUACGGGAGGCAGCAGUGGGGAAUAUUGGACAAUGGGCGCAAGCCUGAUCCAGCCAUACUGCGUGGGUGAAGAAGGCCUUCGGGUUGUAAAGCCCUUUUGUUGGGAAAGAAAAGCAGCAGGUUAAUACCCCGCUGUUCUGACGGUACCCAAAGAAUAAGCACCGGCUAACUUCGUG